GAAAAUGGUCAAGUAGGUGGAUUGGUACCUCAUCUUAUUGAUGGAGGUGUAUCCAUCCUUCAGUACGCUGAUGAUACAAUAAUGUUUAUGAAGCAUGACUUGGCCAAGGCGAGAAAUAUGAAGUUUGUGUUAUGCCUAUUUGAACAAUUGACCGAGUUAAAGAUUAACUUUCAUAAGAACGAGUUGUUCUGUUUUGGUAGGGCCAAAGACGAACAGGAUGCUUAUAGGCAAUUGUUUGGGUGUGAGUUGGGAGAGUUACCCUUCUCUUACCUGGGGAUUCCAAUCCACCAUCGUAGGCUGACAAACAGAGAGUGGAAGGUGCAUCGAGGACCGAUUUGA
RNAcentral lists this ribosomal RNA (339 nucleotides) under Triticum aestivum (bread wheat). RNAcentral describes it as "partial small subunit ribosomal RNA". The record is from RNAcentral. Lineage: Eukaryota; Viridiplantae; Streptophyta; Magnoliopsida; Poales; Poaceae.